Molecule: ribosomal RNA, 254 nt
Filed under: Glomus sp. (unid)
Lineage: Eukaryota; Fungi; Glomeromycota; Glomeromycetes; Glomerales; Glomeraceae
Source: RNAcentral
CAGUCGUGCAGUCAUCAACUCAGCGGGUAGCGUUAGUAAUUUAUUGCUUUCGUUUUCCGUGUACUUUGUUGUCUGCUGGUUAGCAUCAAUUUUGAUUGUCAUAAAAAGGUUAGGGGAUGUGGCUCCUUCGGAAGUGUUAUAGCCUCUUGUUGUACACGGUGCCUGGGAUUGAGGACUGCAGCACGCCUUUGGGUAGGGUUCCCCCCAUCCACGUGCUUAGGAUGCUGGCGUAAUGGCUUUAAACGACCCGUCUU